UAAUAUACGCGCAGGUGCUUUAGUUGGGA
RNAcentral lists this small RNA (29 nucleotides) under Bombyx mori (domestic silkworm). Its description in RNAcentral is "piRNA piR-bmo-1487210". Lineage: Eukaryota; Metazoa; Arthropoda; Insecta; Lepidoptera; Bombycidae. The record is from RNAcentral.